AACGUUGACAAAUUAUUCAACAGUUGCUCAACCGUUGAGUGUCGUGAACGCACCUAAUUCUUACAUUUUGAAAAAUCAGCAGCGGAGGGAUAGAUACAUAGUGCAAGUCAUUCAAAUGGGAAUGCGUCUUUUGCAAGGUAUUGAACAGGCUCCGGGAAAAGACACGUAUCAGUUGACUGUUAAACGUGUAGUAUGACCGUCCACUCCAUUAUUGCUAAACAUAACCUCACUGCAAUUGCUAGUAGCAGAAAGAAGAAAUAGAGGUGUCAUGGGCCGCUUUUAGCCGAGUCUAGUGACCCCUUUGACUAUAUAACUAUGGACUGCUAGCAGCUUACUUUUCCACGCAAUAAGUGUCUACAAACAUCUGCAGCGCCGCCAGUACCAAACACGGCAAAUGAUGGAACUCGUUGAGCAUAACGAAUGAUAACGAAGUAGACGUAUCUAGUAGCUAUAUAUUAUACCAUAUGAGAUAUAUAAUAACACGGCAAUUACAAACAAGAAAAUAAUAAAUAAAAAUGAAAUACUGUGUUGUCCAUUGGUGCAAUAAUUCUAUUCAUAAAGAGAAAAAGACAGGAAAGCAUGUGGCUUUAUUUGCAUUUCCAAAAAAUCUGGAACAUCGUAUGGGUGAAAGCAUUGAAAAAUGUGGCCAUAAAAACAAAUAGCAUUGUAUGUCAAGAACAUUUUAAUGAAACCUGUAUGUACAAAACUGGAUUGUCAUCAUUACGCUUGUACGAAGGAUCUGUACCAUCUAUAUUUCCACAUGUUUCUAAUUUAAGCAUAACAGAAAGUAUACACUGUAACGAAAACAAUAAUGCAUCUUCUGAAGUAUUGAUGGAAGAUGAAUCAACAAUUGGUUCUCAUCAAGGACAAACACAAGAUGAUAUGACAUAUUCAACAAAAACCAAUACUGUGGCGUCAAGUGAUAAAUGUUUAAUAAGAUAUCCAGGAGAUAUUACAACCGAACAAGUGGCAAACAUGUCGUCAAGUAGUUUAAGGAAGUUUAAUUAUUAAAUUAUUAAAAAAGAUUACUUGCGAAACAUGUCUUUAUCUUUUUAACGAAUGUACAGUUAUGAAGUCUACAUUCAUAGAAUGAAAAAGCUGUGGAUAUUUACAUUAUCCACGAGAAGAUACAUAUAAACUCAUUGUUGCCGCUGAUAAAGUUUUUAAUUUUUAUAAAUUACAGAAUAAUUUGUAUAAGAAAAAUGCAUGCCAAGAAAUAAUUAUAAAAACAAUACGUAAUAUUGAUAUGGAUAAGAAUGUUAUAUACAGAUUCUUAUGAAUUAUGAAGGGAAAUUAAUGAGCCAAAAUAUUGAGUACAUCAGACAUCAGUUUACAAAAAUUAUUUUAUUCAAAGGAAUGAAAAGUGCGAUGAUAGUUCUAAUAAUGGCCGUGUUUGGUACUGGCGGCGCUGCAGAUGUUCAUAGAUGCCCAAAGUCAUUGCUAGCAGUCCAUAGUUAUAUAGUCAAGGAGUGACCCUCGAAUAGGAGUCCGGUCAAUCUUUAGUUUUAAAGCAAAAUGGCGUCGAUAGUUAUAGAUGACUUUGCUGUCACGACGUAAAGCUAAGAGACCAUAACCUAUAUUUAGUUCUUAUUAAUCGUGUUUAGUUUAUAUUUAUUUAUUAUAAUAUAAAAUGACUGGUUGCUGUGUUCCGGAAUGCAAAAACAGCAGCAAGAAAGGUUUUUCACUAAGACGAUUUUCAUGUAACCCGGACUGAAAGGCAUUAUAGAUAACAAAAAUGAAUAGAAAAAAUUGGGAAUCUACGCCCAACUCACACAUUUGUGAAGUUAAUUUUUCUGAGGAUAUGUGGAAGAAACCUCGAAUUGAUGAAAAAAGAAAAUUAAAAUCUCAUGCAAUACCAACCAUGUUUCUCAAUGUCUAACCAAUAGAAGAAAACAAGAAAUCUGCUCAUACAAGUAAUCAUCUCGAAGAUAUUACAACUGUAUUGGAUACACCAAUUGAAGCUUCAACAAUA
This is a long non-coding RNA of Harpegnathos saltator (Jerdon's jumping ant), 1972 nucleotides long. RefSeq lists it as uncharacterized. The transcript has 9 exons. The record is from RefSeq and is a predicted model, not a curated record. Lineage: Eukaryota; Metazoa; Arthropoda; Insecta; Hymenoptera; Formicidae.